UACGAAGGGGGCUAGCGUUGCUCGGAAUUACUGGGCGUAAAGGGCGCGUAGGCGGACAGUUUAGUCAGAGGUGAAAGCCCAGGGCUCGACCUUGGAAUUGCCUUUGAUACUGGCUGUCUUGAGUUCGGGAGAGGUGAGUGGAAUGCCGAGUGUAGAGGUGAAAUUCGUAGAUAUUCGGCGGAACACCAGUGGCGAAGGCGACUCACUGGCCCGAUACUGACGCUGAGGCGCGAAAGCGUGGGGAGCAAACAGG
RNAcentral lists this ribosomal RNA (253 nucleotides) under uncultured bacterium. Its description in RNAcentral is "partial 16S ribosomal RNA". It matches the Rfam family "Bacterial small subunit ribosomal RNA", at positions 524 to 776 of the family's 1533-position model. The record is from RNAcentral.